RNAcentral lists this unclassified non-coding RNA (207 nucleotides) under uncultured fungus. Its description in RNAcentral is "sequence contains ITS1, 5.8S rRNA gene". The record is from RNAcentral. Lineage: Eukaryota; Fungi.
CCGAGUUUACAACUCCCAAACCCCAGUGUGAACGCUACCGAAACCGUUGCCUCGGCGGGGGAGCCGCGUCCCCCAGGGCGCUCCCCGCCGGAGGAAACCCCCCAAACCCUCUCUCUCGCGCGAGUCCCGCAGCGGACGAGCGCACCACGUCUCUCUGAGCAAAACCUUCGGGCGCCCCCCCAGCGGGGCCGCCUCGAAAAUGAAUCA